RNAcentral lists this ribosomal RNA (949 nucleotides) under uncultured bacterium. RNAcentral describes it as "bacterial SSU rRNA". It matches the Rfam family "Bacterial small subunit ribosomal RNA", at positions 54 to 1002 of the family's 1533-position model. The record is from RNAcentral.
CAUGCAAGUCGAACGAGAAUCUACUGAAAGAGUUUUCGGACGAUGGAAGUAGAGGAAAGUGGCGGACGGGUGAGUAACGCGUGAGGAACCUGCCUUGAAGAGGGGGACAACAGUUGGAAACGACUGCUAAUACCGCAUGAAGCAUAGGGGUCGCAUGAUUCUUAUGCCAAAGAUUUAUCGCUUCAAGAUGGCCUCGCGUCUGAUUAGCUAGUUGGCGGGGUAACGGCCCACCAAGGCGACGAUCAGUAGCCGGACUGAGAGGUUGAACGGCCACAUUGGGACUGAGAUACGGCCCAGACUCCUACGGGAGGCAGCGGUGGGGAAUAUAGGGCAAUGGGCGCAAGCCUGACCCAGCAACGCCGCGUGAAGGAAGAAGGCUUUCGGGUUGUAAACUUCUUUUAAGAGGGAAGAGCAGAAGACGGUACCUCUAGAAUAAGCCACGGCUAACUACGUGCCAGCAGCCGCGGUAAUACGUAGGUGGCAAGCGUUGUCCGGAUUUACUGGGUGUAAAGGGCGUGCAGCCGGGUCUGCAAGUCAGAUGUGAAAUCCAUGGGCUCAACCCAUGAACUGCAUUUGAAACUGUAGAUCUUGAGUGUCGGAGGGGCAAUCGGAAUUCCUAGUGUAGCGGUGAAAUGCGUAGAUAUUAGGAGGAACACCAGUGGCGAAGGCGGAUUGCUGGACGAUAACUGACGGUGAGGCGCGAAAGUGUGGGGAGCAAACAGGAUUAGAUACCCUGGUAGUCCACACUGUAAACGAUGAAUACUAGGUGUGCGGGGACUGACCCCCUGCGUGCCGCAGUAAACACAAUAAGUAUUCCACCUGGGGAGUACGAUCGCAAGGUUGAAACUCAAAGGAAUUGACGGGGGCCCGCACAAGCGGUGGAUUAUGUGGUUUAAUUCGAAGCAACGCGAAGAACCUUACCAGGGUUUGACAUCCUGCUAACGAAGUA